This 1730-nucleotide ribosomal RNA is filed under the name human oral metagenome. RNAcentral describes it as "bacterial LSU rRNA". It matches the Rfam family "Bacterial large subunit ribosomal RNA", at positions 994 to 2452 of the family's 2925-position model. The record is from RNAcentral.
AGUGAUAAAAUCCGUCGUCAAGAGGGAAACAACCCGGACUAACAGCUAAGGUCCCCAAAUCUCAUUUAAGUGGAAAACGAUGUGAAGUUACUGAAACAACCAGGAGGUUGGCUUAGAAGCAGCCAUCCUUUAAAGAUAGCGUAAUAGCUCACUGGUCUAGUGAUUUUGCGCGGAAAAUAUAACGGGGCUAAAAUGAGUACCGAAGCUUUAGAUAGUGUCUAUGAUUAUUUAUACUAGCUUGUCUCUUUGGCAUCUUUAAAUGAGCUUCAUUUUUUCUCCUGCGGCAACCUACACGGUUAGCCUUAGUCGAAAAAAUAUCAGCAACAUUUAAAUCUGCUCAAAGAUACUUCGCUUCUUGCAUUAAAAUUUAAAUGCAAUGUCUUGAUUUAAAUUUUAGAAAUUUCAAAAUUUCUUAGAAUUUUAAAAUUUAGUAACAAAAGCAAAAAGAUAAGCCUAAGUAAAGUAUAAAUACUCAUAGACACUGUGGUAGGAGAGCGUUCCAAUCAGCGUCGAAGCCGUACCGGUAAGGAGCGGUGGAGCGGUUGGAAGUGAGCAUGCAGGCAUGAGUAGCGAUAAAAUACGUGAGAAUCGUAUUCGCCGUAAACCCAAGGUUUCCUACGCGAUGCUCGUCAUCGUAGGGUUAGUCGGGUCCUAAGCAAAGUCCGAAAGGGGUAUGCGAUGGAAAAUCGGUUAAUAUUCCGAUACCGAUAUCAGUGUGCGACGGAAGGACGCUUAAAGUUAGUGGAGCUAGCGGAUGGAAGUGCUAGUCUAAGGAAGUAGGUUGAGUUAUAGGCAAAUCCGUAACUCUUUAUCCGAGAUCUGAAAGGCUUCUGACGCUCUUCGGAGUAGAUGAAGAAUCCAUGAUACUAUCGAGCCGAGAAAAGUUUCUAAGUUUAGCUGAUAUCGCCCGUACCGUAAACCGACACAGGUGGGUGGGAUGAGUAUUCUAAGGCGCGUGGAAGAACUCUCUUUAAGGAACUCUGCAAAAUAGCACCGUAUCUUCGGUAUAAGGUGUGCCUAGCUUCGUUAAGAAUUUACUUCGUAAGCGAAGAAGGUUACAACAAAGAGUCCCUCCCGACUGUUUACCAUAAACACAGCACUCUGCUAACUCGUAAGAGGAUGUAUAGGGUGUGACGCCUGCCCGGUGCUCGAAGGUUAAUUGAUGACGUUAGCUCUGCGAAGCGUUUGAUCGAAGCCCGAGUAAACGGCGGCCGUAACUAUAACGGUCCUAAGGUAGCGAAAUUCCUUGUCGGUUAAAUACCGACCUGCAUGAAUGGCGUAACGAGAUGGGAGCUGUCUCAAAGAGGGAUCCAGUGAAAUUGUAGUGGAGGUGAAAAUUCCUCCUACCCGCGGCAAGACGGAAAGACCCCGUGGACCUUUACUAUAGCUUGACACUGCUACUUGGAUAAAGAUGCGCAGGAUAGGUGGGAGGCUUCGAUUCGUAGAUCUCGGUUUACGAUGAGCCAUUGUUGAGAUACCACUCUUCUUUAUUCGGGUAGCUAACUAGCCUAAGUUAUCCUUAGGUAGGACAAUGUCUGGUGGGUAGUUUGACUGGGGCGGUCGCCUCCCAAAAUGUAACGGAGGCUUACAAAGGUUGGCUCAGAACGGUUGGAAAUCGUUCGCAGAGUAUAAAGGCAAAAGCCAGCUUAACUGCGAGACAUACACGUCGAGCAGAGACGAAAGUCGGUCUUAGUGAUCCGGUGGUUCUGUGUGGAAGGGCCAUCGCUCAA